CCAGCCAAGAUGCAUUUCCCCGUCUGAAGUCCCUCCACUCGUCUUAGAAAACAUUGGAAGUCCAACGAUCUUGAUACUGUCUCCAUCCAUGAACAUGUGAUUGGAGUAGAGCCCCUCAUCCAGGUUAACAUGGUAUUUGUCUGGGUAUAAGAGCCUGUAAGGUAAAUACUGAUUCUGUGUGAUGCCGCCUGCAAACCACCAUGGCCGGGCACACGGAGCCCAGCACCCGAGUUGCUGAGCCUUCAUUCCAAGCUCAAACUUUUCAGUUACCAAGUACAUAAACUAAGGGGGACAUUUGCAAAUGACAUCUCACAUGAUACAAUUCUGGCUUUAUCAUUUUAUAUUCACUGGGUCAUCUCAAGCUCCCAUGUACAUUGUGUGGGGUGGGGGAGGCUGGGCCAUGGUCAACCAUGGACUUUUCAAGUUACAAA
Molecule: long non-coding RNA, 431 nt
Organism: Myotis brandtii (Brandt's bat)
Lineage: Eukaryota; Metazoa; Chordata; Mammalia; Chiroptera; Vespertilionidae
Exons: 3
Source: RefSeq, a predicted model, not a curated record